This 773-nucleotide ribosomal RNA is filed under the name Botia dario (Bengal loach). Its description in RNAcentral is "partial large subunit ribosomal RNA". It matches the Rfam family "Bacterial large subunit ribosomal RNA", at positions 597 to 1863 of the family's 2925-position model. The record is from RNAcentral. Lineage: Eukaryota; Metazoa; Chordata; Actinopteri; Cypriniformes; Botiidae.
ACUCGUACCUUUUGCAUCAUGAUUUAGCCAGGUGACUAUUUAAGCAAAGAGUCCUUUAGUUUAAACCCCCGAAACCAAGUGAGCUACCCCGAGACAGCCUAUAUGGGCCAACCCGUCUCUGUGGCAAAAGAGUGGGAAGAGCUCUGGGUAGAGGUGACAGAUCUACCGAACUUGGUGAUAGCUGGUUGCCUGAGAAAUGAAUAAAAGUUCAGCCUCGUUUUCCUUUAAUUAAACAUAAAUUAAAUAGAUUAAAUAACUAAAAAAAGAGAAAAAUACGAGAGUUAGUUAAAAGGGGUACAGCCCCUUUAACCAAGGAUACAACCUUGCCCAGGAGGAUAAGGAUCAUAUUUUACAAAACUAGUCGUUUUAGUGGGCCUAAAAGCAGCCAUCUAAGCAGAAAGCGUUAAAGCUCAAACGACCAAACAUUAAUUAUACUGAUAAACAAUCCUAUUCCCCUAAAACUACUAGGCCGUCCCAUGCUAACAUGGGAGAGACCAUGCUAAAAUGAGUAACAAGAAGACACACUCUUCUCCAAGCACAAGUGUAAACCAGAUCGGAUAAACCACUGGCAAUUAACGAACCCAAAAAAAGAGGGUAAUGUGAAUAACAAAAAAUACAAGAAAAAUCCACAAAUAAUAAUCGUUAAACCCACACUGGAGUGCUAUCACGGAAAGACUAAAAGAAAAGGAAGGAACUCGGCAAACACAAGCCUCGCCUGUUUACCAAAAACAUCGCCUCCUGCAAAUCCCCAAGUAUAGGAGGUCCAGCCUGCC